Molecule: ribosomal RNA, 270 nt
Filed under: uncultured bacterium
Lineage: Bacteria
Description: partial 16S ribosomal RNA
Rfam family: Bacterial small subunit ribosomal RNA
Source: RNAcentral
CCGGCGACCGGCGCACGGGUGAGUAACACGUAUGCAACCUGGCCGUGACAGAUGGAUAACCGGGAGAAAUCCCGCCUAAUACAACAUAAUGCCGGGAGGGGACAUCCCCUGCCGGCCAAAGGGGGCGACCCCGGUCACGGAUGGGCAUGCGGCGCAUUAGGUAGUUGGUGGGGCAACGGCCCACCAAGCCGACGAUGCGUAGGGGUUCUGAGAGGAAGGUCCCCCACACUGGUACUGAGACACGGACCAGACUCCUACGGGAGGCAGCAG